This is an RNA transcript of Mercurialis annua (annual mercury), 1306 nucleotides long. It is a transcript of the gene named plastid division protein PDV1, with no coding region annotated. The record is from RefSeq and is a predicted model, not a curated record. The transcript has 3 exons. NCBI's taxonomy places the organism in Eukaryota, Viridiplantae, Streptophyta, Magnoliopsida, Malpighiales, Euphorbiaceae.
GUAAAAAAUAGAAAUGACCGCGCGCGAGUGACUGUAACUCUAGUUUUCCGAUUGCUAACAGUUUCCCUCACUUUCCCGUUCGAAAGAGAGAGAGAGAUACAACAAUGGAGAUCGAAGAAAUUGAAGCCGUACUCGAGAAAAUCUGGGAUCUACACGACAAAUUAAGCGACGCAAUUCACUCUAUUUCCCGUAUUCACUUCCUCAACUCCGUCAAAAAUCCUAAAAAAUCAGAUAAAAAGAAACCCUACAACGACGCCGUUGAAGAUAAUCGUCCCGGCUUUGUCUUCUUCAAGGACUUCCGCAUCGACGACGAUGACUCCGCUAUUCAAGAAGCUAAGAGUCUCAAUGGCAUAAGAACCGCUCUCGAAAACCUCGAGGAUCAGCUCGAGUUCUUCCAUACUGUUCAAAUUCAGCAGCGGGCCGAACGAGAUGCUGCGAUUGCUCGUUUAGAGCAAAGCCGGAUUGUGCUUGCGAUGAGAUUGGCUGAGCAUCACGGAAAGAAGUACAAAGUCAUCGAAGAAGCUCUAGCAUUUGUCGGUGAUGUGCGUGAUGCGAGUCGUUUUGUUUCUCCUGAAAACCUCUAUUGUUCGUCUCAGAAUCUGUCUGGUGGUGAGAAUCUUGUUAGGCGGAACGAGAAAGGGUCGUCUAAUGUUGUGAUUAAAGUUCUUAUUUCUAGCUUUGAUUUGGUUAGGAAUUCUCUUAAGUUGAAUCAUGUUGGUGGGAUAUUGGGUAAUGCUGCUAUAUUUGCAGUUAGUAUGAUUGCAUUUCUCCAUUUCCAUCCUGGAGCUUAUAAGGAGCUUCCUUACGAUCAAGAAGAACCCCUGUAUAGCAGUAGAAAUGCGAGGAAUGCAUCACGAGAAGAACGUUGUUCAUUCAACGGGGAUUUAAGUCGGUUGGAUGUAAUGUUAGCCAGGGGUUAACGAUGAUUUACCAGCUUGAAGCUUUUCUAUAAUCAGUCAAUGAAUGGGAACGUCUGCUGCUUUAUAAAUUGAGAAGUUCAGUAACCGUAACAGUUCAAUCGCUUCCCACGAAGCUAACAUGAUGUACGAAUUUUAGAUGCAUUUCCGUGUCAAACAGGACCGUGUUUGAAAUUAUGAUAAUAGUGUUAGGAUUAGUUUGUGUUGUGUAGAUAAUUUCCGAAUGGUUGCAGCAAAGUUUCGGUGGUCUAUUUUAGUAAAUCCAAGGUACAGUUUAGAAUUUGCUCUUUUCAAGCUACUGAAAUGAUUGUGUAGGCUAUUUGCAAUUUUCUAUCAUGUCCAUGUUGGUGACUUUCUUUUGCAGAGUAAGUUUAGUCUUUGAAAGAUUA